Molecule: ribosomal RNA, 222 nt
Filed under: uncultured bacterium
Lineage: Bacteria
Description: partial 16S ribosomal RNA
Rfam family: Bacterial small subunit ribosomal RNA
Source: RNAcentral
CGCCCUCAGAGGGGGACAACAGUUGGAAACGACUGCUAAUACUGCAUACGAUCUAACCUCGGCAUCGAGGAUGGAUGAAAGGUGGCCUCUAUUUAUAAGCUAUCACUGAAGGAGGGGAUUGCGUCUGAUUAGCUAGUUGGAGGGGUAACGGCCCACCAAGGCGAUGAUCAGUAGCCGGUCUGAGAGGAUGAACGGCCACAUUGGGACUGAGACACGGCCCAG